UCCCUGGUGGCCUAGCAGUUAAGGUUUGGCAUUAUCACUACUAUGGCUCAGGUUCAAUCCCAGGCCUGGGAA
This 72-nucleotide transfer RNA is filed under the name Sus scrofa (pig). It matches the Rfam family "tRNA". Rfam says of the family: Transfer RNA (tRNA) molecules are approximately 80 nucleotides in length. Their secondary structure includes four short double-helical elements and three loops (D, anti-codon, and T loops). Further hydrogen bonds mediate the characteristic L-shaped molecular structure. tRNAs have two regions of fundamental functional importance: the anti-codon, which is responsible for specific mRNA codon recognition, and the 3' end, to which the tRNAs corresponding amino acid is attached (by aminoacyl-tRNA synthetases). tRNAs cope with the degeneracy of the genetic code in two manners: having more than one tRNA (with a specific anti-codon) for a particular amino acid; and 'wobble' base-pairing, i.e. permitting non-standard base-pairing at the 3rd anti-codon position. Lineage: Eukaryota; Metazoa; Chordata; Mammalia; Artiodactyla; Suidae. The record is from Rfam by way of RNAcentral.